RNAcentral lists this ribosomal RNA (255 nucleotides) under uncultured bacterium. RNAcentral describes it as "partial 16S ribosomal RNA". It matches the Rfam family "Bacterial small subunit ribosomal RNA", at positions 99 to 354 of the family's 1533-position model. The record is from RNAcentral.
CGGACUGGUGAGUAACGCGUGAGGAACCUGCCUUUCGGAGGGGACAACAGUUGGAAACGACUGCUAAUACCGCAUGACGUAUCGGAUCGCAUGGUCUUGAUACCAAAGAUUUUAUCGCCGAAAGAUGGCCUCGCGUCUGAUUAGCUAGUUGGUGGGGUAACGGCCUACCAAGGCGACGAUCAGUAGCCGGACUGAGAGGUUGGCCGGCCAACAAUGGAACUGAGACACGGUCCAUACUCCUACGGAAGGCAGCAG